GAUGAAGAACGCAGCGAAAUGCGAUACGUAAUGUGAAUUGCAGAAUUCAGUGAAUCAUCGAGUCUUUGAACGCACAUUGCGCCCCCUGGUAUUCCGGGGGGCAUGCCUGUCCGAGCGUCAUUGCUGCCCUCAAGCACGGCUUGUGUGUUGGGCCCCCGUCCUCCUCCCGGGGGACGGGCCCGAAAGGCAGCGGCGGCACCGCGUCCGGUCCUCGAGCGUAUGGGGCUUCGUCACCCGCUCUUGUAGGCCCGGCCGGCGCUUGCCGACACAUCAAUCUUUUUUCCAGGUUGACCUCGGAUCAGGUAGGGAUACCCGCUGAACUUAAGCAUAUCAAUAAGCGGAGA
RNAcentral lists this unclassified non-coding RNA (344 nucleotides) under soil metagenome. RNAcentral's name for it is "partial contains 5.8S ribosomal RNA, internal transcribed spacer 2, and large subunit ribosomal RNA". The stretch from base 1 to 120 matches the Rfam family "5.8S ribosomal RNA", at positions 35 to 154 of the family's 154-position model. The record is from RNAcentral.